CCUGGUUGAUCCUGCUAGUAUUCAUAUGCUUGUCUCAAAGAUUAAGCCAUGCAUGUGUAAGUAUGAAGUAAUUUAGAUAGUGAAACUAUGAAUGGCUUAUUAAAUCACUUAUAGUUUGUUUGAUGGUAUUUACUACUCGAAUAACCAUAGCAAUUCUGGAGCUAAUAUAUGCAACAAACCUUGACUUCUAGAAGGGAUGCAUUUCUUAGAUAAAAGGUCAAUGCAUACUUUGCUCAUUGCUUUGAUGAUUCAUGAUAACUUUAUAGAUUGUUAGCCUUUGUGCCAAUGAUACAUCAUUCAAAUUUUUACCCUAUCAACUUUCAAUGUUAUGAUAAUGGCCUUCUAUGGUAGUGAUAGGUGACAGAUAAUUAGGGUUCAAUUGUGAAAAGGGAGCUUAAGAAUGGCUACCACAACCAAUGAAGGCAACAGACUCAUAAAUUACCCAAUCCUAACAUGGGGAGAUAGUGACAAUAAAUAACAAUAUUGACCUUUAUGAGUUUGGUAAUUGGAAUAAGUACAAUUUAAAUCUCUUAAUGAGGAUCUAUUUUAGGGCAUGUUUAGUGAUAACAACCAUGGUAAUUCUAAUAGCAUAUAUUUAAUUUGUUGCUGUUAAAAAGCUCAUAGUUGGAACUGGGGUUAGGUCAUCCGAUCCACCUUAUGGCGAGCACUAGUCUACUUAUCCCUACAGCUGAUAAUGUCCUCUUGGCUUUAACUAGCUAGGUUGUUCCUCUAGCAUUGUUACUUAGAAGAAAUCAAAUUGCUUAAAGUAGACCUAUGCUUGUAUACAUUACCUUGGGAUAACAUCAUAGGAUUCUAAUCCUAUUAUGUUGGCUUUUGGGAUCAGAGUAAUUAUUAAUAGGGACAUUUAGGGGCAUUCAUAUUUCAUGGUUAGAGGUGAAAUUCUUAGAUUUAUGAAAGAUGAACAACUGUAAAAACAUUUACCAAGGAUGUUUUCAUUAAUCAAGAAUGAAAAUUAGGGGCUUGAAGAUGAUCAAAUACCAUCAUAAAUUUAACCAUAAAUAAUGCUGACCAAGGAUCAACAGAUGUUACUUUUAAGACUUCACUGGCACCUUAUGUGAAAUCAAAGUCUUUGGGUUUUAGGGGGAAGAUAGUCAUAAGGCUAAAACUUAAAGGAAUCAAUAGAAGGGCACCAUUAGGAGUAAAGCUUGCAACUUAAUUUGACUCAACAUGGGAAAACUUAUAAGAUCUAGACAUAGAAAGGAUUGACAGACUAAGAGCUCUUUCUUAAUUCAAUGGGUAGUGGUGCACGGCCAUUCUUAGUUGGUGAAAUGAUUUGUUUGGUUAAUUUCGUUAACAAACGAGACCUUAACUUGUUAACUAGCUACGUGGAGGUGAUUUUUUGUGGCUAGCUUCUUAAAGGGACUAUGGCCACUUAGGCCAAGGAACUUUGAGGUAAUAAUAGGUUUGUGAUGCCCUUAAAUGUUCUGGGCUACAUGUGCACUACACUGAUGUAUUCAAUGUAGGCCCAGGUAAUCUUUGAAAUUUCAUCAUCAUGGGGAUAGAUCAUUGUAACUGUUGGUCUUCAACAAGGAAUUCCUAGUAAGUGUAAGUCAUCAGCUCAUGUUGACUAUGUCCUUACUCUUUAUACACAUGCUUGUUGCUCUUAUCGAUUAAAUAGUUCAUUGAAAUGUUUAGAUCAUGGUGAUGUGGAUGGUUUGCUACCUAUGACGUUGGGAGAAGUCUACCUAACCUUAUCAUUUAGAGGAAAGAGAAGUUGUAAUAAGGUUUCCAAAGGUCAACCUAGAGAAG
This 1770-nucleotide ribosomal RNA is filed under the name Durio zibethinus. RNAcentral describes it as "SSU rRNA". It matches the Rfam family "Eukaryotic small subunit ribosomal RNA". The record is from RNAcentral. Lineage: Eukaryota; Viridiplantae; Streptophyta; Magnoliopsida; Malvales; Malvaceae.